RNAcentral lists this small nuclear RNA (117 nucleotides) under Echinops telfairi (small Madagascar hedgehog). RNAcentral's name for it is "U4 spliceosomal RNA (ENSETEG00000020739.1)". It matches the Rfam family "U4 spliceosomal RNA". Rfam says of the family: U4 small nuclear RNA (U4 snRNA) is a component of the major U2-dependent spliceosome. The structure of U4 snRNA from yeast and human has been reported. U4 snRNA presents a k-turn RNA motif in the 5p-SL related to recognition of Snu13 protein. Lineage: Eukaryota; Metazoa; Chordata; Mammalia; Afrosoricida; Tenrecidae. The record is from RNAcentral.
AACUUUGCGCAGUGCCAAUAUUGUAGCCGAUGAGGUCUACCCGAGGCGCGAUUAUUGCUAAUUGAAAACACUGUUGAGAAAAUGAAAUUAUACAAAUAUAGGUUGGCUUCAGACAGC